GUGUCCAUAAUUUUUCACUACUAGUUCAACUUACAAAAGUUGAGUUCCCAACUUACAAAAGCAAAACUAAAAGUUGGUACAGCUAAACUACAGCAAAAGAUUCCGACAAGACCCGGCCCUUCCUAUUCACUUGCCCAGGUACUCGCCUCUAUAAGGAAAACAAAUCUAAACGGUGAGCUUUCGUCCCAUGAGGUUCCAAGAAAGUCAUUCAAAAAUAAUAUCAUAUUCUUGCGACAUAACCAUAGUUCACAACCAUAAUGCAAGUUCACAUUGGGUACUCGACAAUUAAGAAUUUACAUUGCCAUAUAAAAAGAUACGGGGCAUUCAAGAGCAUAUUCAACCAAUUUGAUCAGACUUCCGCUGACACUCCAUUAACAUUUUUUCCAAAAUACUUCUCCCUCCGUCCCGAAAUGAAUGUCGCACUUCGGGUCUUGAGUUUCUUUUCAACAGUGUCGCAUUUUGGUUUAAAUCCCAACGCUACCCCUUCCGUGCAUUACUCCAUUGAGUGGCAAAAAGAAAAAGCAAGGAUGAUAAGAUGUGUGGGAUGCAUACUUUACAAAUGUGUCUAGCCAUUUUUUUGAGAAAAUAGCUUGCAGGGCCAUUGUUUGCAUUUGCAGUGAGACUCACGCAUAUUAGAUCCCUGGCUAAAUACAGCAGAUUGUGAUCGAUACAAUCUUGAAAUAUGCUAUUAGUUUUUUUUUUAACUUGGAAUAGGUUUCAAAAAUUCCAUUCACAGGAACAACUUUCUCUUCUUUUUUACAUAUAGUUUUUUUUUUCUCGAAAGAUUCUAAUUCCUGUGUUGUCCUGAAUUGUCAUUGCCUAUUUGAAAUCCCUCUACAAACGAAAAAACUCUUCAAGUUCGACACGCAAAACAAACCCAUACUCCCUCUCUUCUCUUUUCUGCCGACCAAGUCCUUUGUCGCCUGAAAAAGACAAUCGCUCCCUCCCCCUAUUUUUUUCCUCCUCCGACUCUUUCGACGAAAACUUGAUGGGAGACUGGAAUAUUAUUUGGAUAAACAUUACCAUUCUGGAGACGAAUGGUCGGUUUCAUUCGUGACUUCAUGAAUUUCAAUACUCCCCACUCGAACUUUAGUGUGGCCAUGUCUUUUUGGCGGAAUGUAUUUUCGGGCAGAAGAGAUGGGAGGCAUGCCGUGGAUGUUUAUCUUUAUGUUGAGAUUGAACCACAGCAAGUGGGAAUCAUGUACCUUACCGGUGACGAAGAAAUUGGUGUUCUCGGAUAGGAAACGCAUUGGGAAGACGUCAAGUGGAGAGUAAUAUCAAUGGUGGCAUUUCCUCUGAGCUGUUUGUUACGAAUAUGUAGGACGCUACCUCCUCCGAAAUUAUUCAGAUAUGUAGUGAUUCGGGCAGAGUUGACACGGAACAGCAGUCCCCUUGGACAGCCGAACAGAAUUCACGUGGGUCGCAUGGCCAGAAAUGACAUCUCCAAUGUUAAUGUCUUGAUAAAUAAUUUGCUACAGCUAGCUAACAUUGCUGGGCAUCACUUUCUCAUGACGUACCGUUUGAUUGGCGAGGAGCACUACCGAAUCUUUAGUUAGGGGCCGAAUGUUCAUAGUUUUCACGAUUUUUAGGACCAGAAUUUUCAAGAUUUUAUUUUCAUUGUGUCCAUAAUUUUUCACUACUAGUUCAACUUACAAAAGUUGAGUUCCCAACUUACAAAAGUAAAAUUAAAAGUUGGUACAACUAAACUAUAGCAAAAGAUUCCGACAAGACCCGGCCCUUCCUAUUCACUUACCCAGGUACUCGCCUCUAUAAGGAAAACAAAUCUAAACGGUGAGCUUUCGUCCCAUGAGGUUCCAAGAAAGUCAUGCAACAAUAAUAUCAUAUUCAUGCGACAUAACCAUAGUUCACAACCAUAAUGCAAGUUCACAUUGGGUACUCGACAAUUAAGAAUUUACAUUGCCAUAUAAAAGGAUACGGGGCGUUCAAGAGCAUAUUCAACCAAUUUGAUCAGAAUUCCGCUGACACUCCAUCCACAUUUUUUCCAAAAUACUACUCCCUCCGUCCCGAAAUGAAUGUCGCACUUCGGGUCUUGAGUUUCUUUUCAACAGUAUCGCAUUUUGGUCUAAAUUCCAGCGCUACCCCUUCGGUGCAUUACUCCGUUGAGUGGCAGAAAGAAAAAACAAGGAUGACAAGAUGUGUGGGACGCAUACUUUACAAAUGUGUCCAGCCAUUUUUUUGAGAAAGUAGCUUGCACGGCCAUUGUUUGCAUUUGCUGUGAGACUCACGCAUAUUAUAUCCCUGGCUAAAUACAGCAGAUUGUGAUCGAUACAAUCUUGAAAUAAGCUAUUAGUUUUUUUUUUAACUUGGAAUAGGUUUUAAAAAUUUCAUUCACAGGACCAACUUUCUCUUCUUUUUUUACAUAUAGUUUUUUUUUUCUCGAAAGAUUCUAAUUCCUGUGUUGUCUUGAAUUGUCAUUGCCUUUUUGAAAUCCCUCUAUAAACGAAAAAACUCUUCAUGUUCGACACGCAAAACUAACCCAUACUCCAUCUCUUCUCUUUUCUGCCGACCAAGCCCUUUGUCGCCUGAAAAAAUAGACAAUCGCUCCUUCUCCCUAUUUUCUUCCUCCUCCGACUCUUUCAACGAAAACUUGAUGGGAGAUUGGAAUACUAUUUGGAUAAACAUUACCAUUCUGGAGACGAAUGGUCGAUUUCAUUAAUGACUUGAUGAAUUCCAACACUCCCCACUCGAACUUUAGUCUGGCCAUGUCUUUUUGGCGGAAUGUAUUUUCGGGCAGAAGAGAUGGGAGGCUUGCCGUGGAUGUUUAUCUUUAUGUUGAGAUUCAACCACAGUAAGUGGGAAUCAUGUACCUUACCGGUGACGAAAAAGUUGGUGUUUUUGGAUCGAAAACGCAUUGGGAAGACGUCAAGUGGAGAGUAAUAUCAAUGGUGGCAUUUCCUCUGAGCUGUUUAUUACGAAUAUGUAGGACGCUACCUCCUCCGGAAUUAUUCAGAUAUGCAGUGAUUCGGGCAGAGUUGACACGGAACAGCAGUCCCCUUGGACAGCCGAACAGAAUUCACGUGGGUCGCAUGGCCAGAAAUGACAUCUCCAAUGUUAAUGUCUUGAUAACUAAUUUACUGCAGCUAGCUAACAUUGGUGGGCAUCACUUUCUCAUGACGUACCGUUUGAUUGGCGAGAAGCACUACCGAAUCUUUAGUCAGGGGCUGAAUGUUUAGAGUUUUCCCGAUUUUUAGGACCAGAAUUUUCAAGAUUUUAUUUCCAUUGUGUCCAUAAUUUUUCACUACUAGUUGAACUUACAAAAGUUGAGUUCCCAACUUACAAAAGCAAAACUAAAAGUUGGUACAACUAAACUACAGCAAAAGAUUCCGACAAGACCCGGCCCUUCCUAUUCACUUGCCCAGGUACUCGCCUCUAUAAGGAAAACAAAUCUAAACGGUGAGCUUUCGUCCCAUGAGGUUCCAAGAAAGUCAUGCAACAAUAAUAUCAUAUUCAUGCGACAUAACCAUAGAUCACAACCAUAAUGCAAGUUCACAUUGGGUACUCGACAAUUAAGAAAUUACAUUGCCAUAUAAAAGGAUACGGGGCGUUCAAGAGCAUAUUCAACCAAUUUGAUCAGAAUUCCGCUGACACUCCAUCAACAUUUUUUUCAAAAUACUACUCCCUCCGUCCCGAAAUGAAUGUCGCACUUCGGGUCUUGAGUUUCUUUUCAACAGUGUCGCAUUUUGGUCUAAGUUCCAGCGCUACCCCUUCGGUGCGUUACUCCAUUGAGUGGCAGAAAGAAAAAGCAAGGAUGACAAGAUGUGUGGGACCC
RNAcentral lists this long non-coding RNA (3790 nucleotides) under Coffea arabica (coffee). RNAcentral's name for it is "long non-coding RNA (CARA_LNC005125)". The record is from RNAcentral. Lineage: Eukaryota; Viridiplantae; Streptophyta; Magnoliopsida; Gentianales; Rubiaceae.